This 802-nucleotide ribosomal RNA is filed under the name uncultured marine bacterium. RNAcentral's name for it is "bacterial SSU rRNA". It matches the Rfam family "Bacterial small subunit ribosomal RNA", at positions 60 to 867 of the family's 1533-position model. The record is from RNAcentral.
AGUCGAGCGAAGCUUUUCAGUAGUUUACUACAGAAAAUGACUGAGCGGCGAACGGGUGAGUAACGCGUGAGCAAUCUACCUUAGUUACAGGGAUAGCCCGGGGAAACUCGGAUUAAUACCUGAUAUUCUUUAUUUCUCGCAUGAGAAUAAAAGGAAAGGUCAGCCGAACUAAGAUGAGCUCGCGUUCUAUCAGCUAGUUGGUGAGGUAAAAGCUUACCAAGGCUACGACGGAUAGCUGGCCUGAGAGGACGAUCAGCCACACUGGGACUGAGACACGGCCCAGACUCCUACGGGAGGCUGCAGCAGGGAAUAUUGUGCAAUGAACGAAAGUUUGACACAGCGACACCGCGUGUGGGAUGACGGAUCUAGGUUUGUAAACCACUUUCAGGAGGGAAGAAAAUGACGGUACCUCCACAAGAAGCCCCGGCCAACUACGUGCCAGCAGCCGCGGUAAUACGUAGGGGGCGAGCGUUGUCCGGAUUUAUUGGGCGUAAAGAGCUCGUAGGCGGUUCAACAAGUCGGUCGUGAAAGUUCAGGGCUCAACCCUGAAAUGUCGAUCGAUACUGUUGUGACUAGGAUUCGGUAGAGGUGAGUGGAAUUCCGAGUGUAGCGGUGAAAUGCGUAGAUAUUCGGAGGAACACCAAUUGCGAAGGCAGCUCACUGGGCCGCUAUCGACGCUGAGGAGCGAAAGCUAGGGGAGCAAACAGGAUUAGAUACCCUGGUAGUCCUAGCUGUAAACGAUGGAUACUAGAUGUAGGAACUGGAUUGACGGUUUCUGUACCGCAGCUAACGCGUUAAGUAU